GACAAUUCCUGAAUAUAUCUAUAAAAAGUGUUUCGAUGACUGGAUUAUUCAUUGGGACAAGUGUAUUGAUCCUGAAGGGGAAAUAGGAAGGAAUAGAAAGUAGUUACAGGAAGCAAUCGAAAUGAACGCAAAAAUUUGUUCUGAAAUAUUCAAUUUUCAUGAAUUCCACUAUUUAUUCCGGGAUGAAAGUGGCGUCAAAGUGCAGCACGUUUCAAGUACGAUGUGAACAAGGAUUUGGUAUCGUCUGAAACAGCGGUCAAGGUCCACUUGGGGUCUAUACCCCUAUUAAUUUAUGUUCUUAUUUAAAAUAUUCAAGAU
This is a long non-coding RNA of Toxorhynchites rutilus septentrionalis, 318 nucleotides long. RefSeq lists it as uncharacterized. The record is from RefSeq and is a predicted model, not a curated record. Lineage: Eukaryota; Metazoa; Arthropoda; Insecta; Diptera; Culicidae. The transcript is spliced from 3 exons.